UACGGAGGGUGCGAGCGUUAAUCGGAAUAACUGGGCGUAAAGGGCACGCAGGCGGGCUGUUAAGUGGGAUGUGAAAUCCCCGGGCUUAACCUGGGAACAGCAUUUCAGACUGGGAGGCUAGAGUACUUUAGGGAGGGGUAGAAUUCCACGUGUAGCGGUGAAAUGCGUAGAGAUGUGGAGGAAUACCGGUGGCGAAGGCAGCCCCUUGGGAAAAUACUGACGCUCAUGUGCGAAAGCGUGGGGAGCAAACAGG
This 253-nucleotide ribosomal RNA is filed under the name uncultured bacterium. RNAcentral's name for it is "partial 16S ribosomal RNA". It matches the Rfam family "Bacterial small subunit ribosomal RNA", at positions 524 to 776 of the family's 1533-position model. The record is from RNAcentral.